GACGAACGCUGGCGGCGUGCUUAAUACAUGCAAGUCGAACGGAAAGGCCCUGCUUUUGUGGGGUGCUCGAGUGGCGAACGGGUGAGUAACACGUGAGUAACCUGCCCUUGACUUUGGGAUAACUUCAGGAAACUGGGGCUAAUACCGGAUAGGAGCUCCUGCUGCAUGGUGGGGGUUGGAAAGUUUCGGCGGUUGGGGAUGGACUCGCGGCUUAUCAGCUUGUUGGUGGGUAGUGGCUUACCAAGGCUUUGACGGGUAGCCGGCCUGAGAGGGUGACCGGCCACAUUGGGACUGAGAUACGGCCCAGACUCCUACGGGAGGCAGCAGUGGGGAAUAUUGCACAAUGGGCGGAAGCCUGAUGCAGCAACGCCGCGUGCGGGAUGACGGCCUUCGGGUUGUAAACCGCUUUCGCCUGUGACGAAGCGUGAGUGACGGUAAUGGGUAAAGAAGCACCGGCUAACUACGUG
This 467-nucleotide ribosomal RNA is filed under the name uncultured bacterium. Its description in RNAcentral is "partial 16S ribosomal RNA". It matches the Rfam family "Bacterial small subunit ribosomal RNA", at positions 28 to 507 of the family's 1533-position model. The record is from RNAcentral.